UAUACCGUGAAACUGCGAAUGGCUCAUUAAAUCAGUUAUCGUUUAUUUGAUAAUACCUUACUACUUGGAUAACCGUGGUAAUUCUAGAGCUAAUACAUGCUGAAAAUCCCGACUUCGGAAGGGAUGUGUUUAUUAGAUAAAAAACCAAUGCCCUUCGGGGCUCCUUGGUGAUUCAUGAUAACUUUACGGAUCGCAUAGCCUUGCGCUGGCGACGGUUCAUUCAAAUUUCUGCCCUAUCAACUUUCGAUGGUAAGGUAUUGGCUUACCAUGGUUUCAACGGGUAACGGGGAAUUAGGGUUCGAUUCCGGAGAGGCAGCCUGAGAAACGGCUACCACAUCCAAGGAAGGCAGCAGGCGCGCAAAUUACCCAAUCCCGACACGGGGAGGUAGUGACAAUAAAUACUGAUACAGGGCUCUUUUGGGUCUUGUAAUUGGAAUGAGUACAAUUUAAACCUCUUAACGAGGAACAAUUGGAGGGCAAGUCUGGUGCCAGCAGCCGCGGUAAUUCCAGCUCCAAUAGCGUAUAUUAAAGUUGUUGCAGUUAAAAAGCUCGUAGUUGAAACUUGGGCCUGGCUGGCGGGUCCGCCUCACCGCGUGCACUCGUCCGGCCGGGCCUUCCUUCUGAAGAACCUCAUGCCCUUCACUGGGCGUGCUGGGGAAUCAGGACUUUUACUUUGAAAAAAUUAGAGUGUUCAAAGCAGGCCUUUGCUCGAAUACGUUAGCAUGGAAUAAUAAAAUAGGGCGUGCGUUUCUAUUUUGUUGGUUUCUAGAGACGCCGCAAUGAUUAACAGGAACAGUCGGGGGCAUCAGUAUUCAGUUGUCAGAGGUGAAAUUCUUGGAUUUACUGAAGGCUAACUCCUGCGAAAGCAUUUGCCAAGGAUGUUUUCAUUAAUCAGUGAACGAAAGUUAGGGGAUCGAAGACGAUCAGAUACCGUCGUAGUCUUUACCGUAAACUAUGCCGACUAGGGAUCGGGCGAUGUUCUUUUUCUGACUCGCUCGGCACCUUACGAGAAAUCAAAGU
RNAcentral lists this ribosomal RNA (1020 nucleotides) under Alternaria cetera. Its description in RNAcentral is "SSU rRNA". It matches the Rfam family "Eukaryotic small subunit ribosomal RNA", at positions 75 to 1104 of the family's 1831-position model. Lineage: Eukaryota; Fungi; Ascomycota; Dothideomycetes; Pleosporales; Pleosporaceae. The record is from RNAcentral.